CAAGACCUGCGCUUUUGGAGCGGCCGAUGCCUGAUUAGCUUGUUGGUAAGGUAAAAGCUUACCAAGGCUUCGAUCAGUAGCUGGUCUGAGAGGACGGCCAGCCACACUGGGACUGAGACACGGCCCAGACUCCUACGGGAGGCAGCAGUGGGGAACUUUGGACAAUGGGGGCAACCCUGAUCCAGCCAUGCCGCGUGAGUGAAGAAGGCCUUCGGGUUGUAAAGCUCUUUCAGCCGGAACGAAACGGUUACGGUUAAUACCCGUGAUUACUGACGGUACCGGAAGAAGAAGCACCGGCUAACUACGUGCCAGCAGCCGCGGUAAUACGUAGGGUGCGAGCGUUAAUCGGAAUUACUGGGCGUAAAGCGUGCGCAGGUGGUUUUGUAAGUCAGAUGUGAAAGCCCCGGGCUCAACCUGGGAACU
This 423-nucleotide ribosomal RNA is filed under the name uncultured bacterium. RNAcentral describes it as "bacterial SSU rRNA". It matches the Rfam family "Bacterial small subunit ribosomal RNA", at positions 207 to 622 of the family's 1533-position model. The record is from RNAcentral.